Molecule: small nuclear RNA, 94 nt
Filed under: Ornithorhynchus anatinus (platypus)
Lineage: Eukaryota; Metazoa; Chordata; Mammalia; Monotremata; Ornithorhynchidae
Source: RNAcentral
GUUUAAUCACAUUUACAUAUUGGAAUGAUAGAGUACAUUAGCAUGGCCCCUGCUCAAGGAUAAGACACAAUUUCAUGAAGUGUUUUUCAUAUCA